CUUGGUCAUUUAGAGGAAGUAAAAGUCGUAACAAGGUCUCCGUAGGUGAACCUGCGGAGGGAUCAUUACAGAGUUCUCGCCCUCGCGGGUAGAUCUCCCACCCACUGUUAUUGUUACUGUGUUGCUUUGGCGGGCUGCUAGGCCCAGCCUGGCCGCCGGCUCCGGCUGGCGCGCGCCCGCCAGAGGCCCGAUUAAUUCUGAUUGUCAGUGUCGUCUGAGUACUAUAUAAUAGUUAAAACUUUCAACAACGGAUCUCUUGGUUCUGGCAUCGAUGAAGAACGCAGCGAAAUGCGAUAAGUAAUGCGAAUUGCAGAAUUCAGUGAGUCAUCGAAUCUUUGAACGCACAUUGCGCCCUGUGGUAUUCCGCAGGGCAUGCCUGUUCGAGCGUCAUUUCAACCCCUCAAGCUCUGCUUGGUGUUGGGCCCCGCCCGCUCGCGGCCGGCCCUAAAGACAGUGGCGGCAGCGUCUGGCUCCAAGCGUAGUACAAUUCUCGCUCUGGUGCUAGGCGGUGGCCUGCCAGAACCCCCCUUCUAUGGUUGACCUCGGAUCAGGUAGGGAUACCCGCUGAACUUAAGCAUAUCAAUAAGCGGAGGA
This 594-nucleotide ribosomal RNA is filed under the name uncultured fungus. Its description in RNAcentral is "eukaryotic LSU rRNA". The stretch from base 237 to 390 matches the Rfam family "5.8S ribosomal RNA". Lineage: Eukaryota; Fungi. The record is from RNAcentral.